GCCAAACCCUAAUUGUGUGUGCGUGUGUCUGCAUUUUUUCCCCUGACAUGAAGAAGAAGAAAACCAAGUUACCAUGUGGCGCUGUUGGAUGCCCUUCCUCUUGGCCUGGGUGUCCAUGGCAACCCCAAUACUCUGCCAAAGUGGAGAUUGGGGUUCAGGCUUUGACAUCUCCUCGGCUGUAAUGGCCACCAAUGACACAUCUCAGGCAGUUGGUGAUGAGCCUGUGAGGAUAAGAAACAAUCAGGACUGGAUCACAUCAUCAGCUUUCUCACCAUCACCCUCACCCUCACCAACGCUGCAGUAUGAGCCUCAACCGGACAAGUGCUCGGUCCACUUCAGCACCAACGCUGCUACGGCUCGAAGGCUGAAGGCCCAGAAAGAGGAGAUAUCCUAUCUGCAGGCCAUCCAGCAUGGGAACAAGGCAGUGAUGGAGAACUUGGUGGAGUUUGUGGGGGCAGAGGUGGGGGAUCAGAGCUAUGAAGAUGUGAUUAAGGAAAAUGUAAUUGGCAUCCAAGAGGACCACAAGAGUUGCCACGAGGUGGUAGAGAAAGCUGAAGAUGAUAUGGAAAAGCAGCUGGAGGGGGAAGUGUUGGGCGCUGGGAUGCAGAAAAUCAGGGACGAGUCCUUGGCCUUGGAAGACAUGGUCCGUGCUGCAGUGGACAUCGCCAACAGGCUGGACAUCUCCUCACAGGCCCUGCAUGCUUCAUUCACCAAGCAGCUGAAAGACAUUGCCAAAAUUCAUCGCUAAGAACGCGGUGAAAAGAAUUGCUGUGUGUAUGUCAUCCCUCCAACUCGGUGAUGAUGUUUUGGUAACCUUUGUGAGACCCAACAUAAGGGAAGAAAUUGGUGUUCUAUAUUUUAAAUGAAUUUAACUGUAUGAGGAAUCAACAUGGUUUAAAAGAUGACAUAAGUUGAGGGAACACAGCAAAAAACAAUUGUUGAGUAAAAAAAAAACAAGUUUCCUUUUCACUGAAGUCAAAUCCUAUAACCCAUAAAAUAGUAUUUUUCCAUCCAGCCAUUAUUUGUGGAAUUGCGUAAGGUCGAAUGUGGUAACAGUAUGUGGUGCAGGUUUAAGCCAAGUUGAGUGUUUAUGGAUCAAACUAGAUUGGCCAUCAGAGACCAAACAUAAUGGCUCGGCUGGUCUUCUCCAGAAGAAGCUAUAGAUCGGCCAUCUGGUUCCAGGGUGAGGACGGAGGGCAGGAUACGUUUAGGAUGACUAGUGUGUUCCAAUGGACAUAAAAAUAAAAAAUAAAAAUAAAAAGGACAAGACUGCAACCGGGACCGCAUUGUUAUAAAGUAUUGUCAUCUGUUGUUGUCAUCUGUUGCCGAAAACAAUGCAAUAACCUACGGAUGAGGGACGAGAUAUUGUUUAAACAAUUUGACAAUUCCUGAUUGUGAUUAGGAAGAAAUAAGCAGGAAACACACCAUAUAAAAACGCAAUAAAGCUCUUUAAAAGUAGCACCACUGAAUCUGAACAUUGUUUUAAAAAGGAAUACCUGUGAGCUUUCACAUAAAAUGUAAACCUUAGGAUCAGAAAAACCUCUGUGGGUGUCUCAGCUGGAUUCACCCGUUCAAAUGUGAGAAACACACUUUUGUUGUGUAUCCAGCUCUAUUGUGCUAUUCUCUCUCUAACCCUGCCAGGACUUGUGAGAGAGAAUGCUUUCAAUCAUGUUUGAAAUCAUUUUUUUUUUAAAGUGCAAUAUAUGUGUGUACAAUGUAUGAGAGAAACAUGCUUUAUCCAGUAAACAGCAACAAACAAUAAAUCAGCCUGU
This 1772-nucleotide long non-coding RNA is filed under the name Cottoperca gobio. RNAcentral's name for it is "lncRNA (ENSCGOG00000014065.1)". The record is from RNAcentral. Lineage: Eukaryota; Metazoa; Chordata; Actinopteri; Perciformes; Bovichtidae.